GCUCGAGUGGCGGAAUGGUAGACGCUGAGGACUUAAAAUCCUUUGUCAGCAAUGACGUGCGGGUUCGAGUCCCGCCCCGAGCACCA
RNAcentral lists this transfer RNA (86 nucleotides) under Puniceicoccales bacterium. RNAcentral describes it as "tRNA-Leu". It matches the Rfam family "tRNA". Rfam says of the family: Transfer RNA (tRNA) molecules are approximately 80 nucleotides in length. Lineage: Bacteria; Pseudomonadati; Verrucomicrobiota; Opitutia; Puniceicoccales. The record is from RNAcentral.